RNAcentral lists this ribosomal RNA (435 nucleotides) under uncultured bacterium. Its description in RNAcentral is "partial 16S ribosomal RNA". It matches the Rfam family "Bacterial small subunit ribosomal RNA", at positions 29 to 507 of the family's 1533-position model. The record is from RNAcentral.
AGCGAACGCUGGCGGCAGGCUUAACACAUGCAAGUCGAGCGGGCAUCUUCGGAUGUCAGCGGCAGACGGGUGAGUAACACGUGGGAACGUACCCUUCGGUUCGGAACAACUCUGGGAAACUGGAGCUAAUACCGGAUACGCCCUUAUGGGGAAAGGUUUACUGCCGAAGGAUCGGCCCGCGUCUGAUUAGCUAGUUGGUGGGGUAACGGCCUACCAAGGCGACGAUCAGUAGCUGGUCUGAGAGGAUGAUCAGCCACACUGGGACUGAGACACGGCCCAGACUCCUACGGGAGGCAGCAGUGGGGAAUAUUGGACAAUGGGCGCAAGCCUGAUCCAGCCAUGCCGCGUGAGUGAUGGAGGCCUUAGGGUUGUAAAGCUCUUUUGUCCGGGACGAUAAUGACGGUACCGGAAGAAUAAGCCCCGGCUAACUUCGUG